AUACGGAGGUUGCGAGCGUUAAUCGGAAUUACUGGGCGUAAAGGGUGCGUAGGCGGCUUGAUAAGUCGGAUGUGAAAGCCCCGGGCUUAACCUGGGAAUUGCAUUCGAUACUGUCAGGCUAGAGUAUGUCAGAGGUUGGCGGAAUUCCUGGUGUAGCGGUGAAAUGCGUAGAUAUCAGGAGGAACACCAGUGGCGAAGGCGGCUAACUGGGACAAUACUGACGCUGAGGCACGAAAGCGUGGGGAGCAAACAGGAUUAGAUACCCCAGUAGUCC
RNAcentral lists this ribosomal RNA (274 nucleotides) under uncultured bacterium. RNAcentral's name for it is "partial 16S ribosomal RNA". It matches the Rfam family "Bacterial small subunit ribosomal RNA", at positions 523 to 796 of the family's 1533-position model. The record is from RNAcentral.